Molecule: ribosomal RNA, 809 nt
Filed under: uncultured Pelagibacteraceae bacterium
Lineage: Bacteria; Pseudomonadati; Pseudomonadota; Alphaproteobacteria; Candidatus Pelagibacterales; Candidatus Pelagibacteraceae
Description: bacterial SSU rRNA
Rfam family: Bacterial small subunit ribosomal RNA
Source: RNAcentral
CGCUGGCGGCACGCCUAACACAUGCAAGUCGAACGAAGUAGCAAUACUUAGUGGCAGACGGGUGAGUAACAUGUAGGUAUCUGCCCUUUGGCCUGGAAUAACACGAGGAAACUUGUGCUAAUACCGGAUAAGUCUUUACGGAGAAAGCUUUAUGCACCAUUGGAUGAGCCUGCACUUGAUUAGUUUGUUGGUGGGGUAAUGGCCUACCAAGACUGUGAUCAAUAGCUGAUUUGAGAGGAUGAUCAGCCACAUUGGGACUGAGACACGGCCCAAACUCCUACGGGAGGCAGCAGUGGGGAAUCUUGCACAAUGGAGGAAACUCUGAUGCAGCGAUGCCGCGUGAGUGAAGAAGGCCCUUGGGUUGUAAAGCUCUUUCGUCGGGGAAGAAAAUGACUGUACCCGAAUAAGAAGGUCCGGCUAACUUCGUGCCAGCAGCCGCGGUAAUACGAAGGGACCUAGCGUAGUUCGGAAUUACUGGGCUUAAAGAGUUCGUAGGUGGUUGAAAAAGUUAGUGGUGAAAUCCCAGAGCUUAACUCUGGAACUGCCAUUAAAACUUUUCAGCUAGAGUAUGAUAGAGGAAAGCAGAAUUUCUAGUGUAGAGGUGAAAUUCGUAGAUAUUAGAAAGAAUACCAAUUGCGAAGGCAGCUUUCUGGAUCAUUACUGACACUGAGGAACGAAAGCAUGGGUAGCGAAGAGGAUUAGAUACCCUCGUAGUCCAUGCCGUAAACGAUGUGUGUUAGACGUUGGAAAUUUAUUUUCAGUGUCGCAGGGAAACCGAUAAACACACCGCCUGGGGAGUACGACCGCAA